Oryza sativa Indica Group (long-grained rice) is the source of this 207-nucleotide microRNA precursor. It matches the Rfam family "MIR812 microRNA precursor family". NCBI's taxonomy places the organism in Eukaryota, Viridiplantae, Streptophyta, Magnoliopsida, Poales, Poaceae. The record is from Rfam.
GAAAAAAAAAACUCUAGGUUUCCGUGUCUAACGUUUGACUGUCCGUCUUAUAAGAAUUUUUUUUAUAAUUAGUAUUUUUAUUGUUAUUAAAUGAUAAAACAUGAUUAAUACUUUAUGCGUGACUUAUCUUUUUAAUUUUUUUUCAUAUUUUUUUUAAAUAGACAAACGGUCAAACGUUGGACAUUGAAACAUAGGGUUUGUCUUUUU